Molecule: ribosomal RNA, 450 nt
Filed under: uncultured bacterium
Lineage: Bacteria
Description: bacterial SSU rRNA
Rfam family: Bacterial small subunit ribosomal RNA
Source: RNAcentral
GUGGGGAAUAUUGGACAAUGGGCGAAAGCCUGAUCCAGCCAUGCCGCGUGUGUGAAGAAGGUCUUCGGAUUGUAAAGCACUUUAAGUUGGGAGGAAGGGCAGUAAGUUAAUACCUUGCUGUUUUAACGUUACCGACAGAAUAAGCACCGGCUAACUUCGUGCCAGCAGCCGCGGUAAUACGAAGGGUGCAAGCGUUAAUCGGAAUUACUGGGCGUAAAGCGCGCGUAGGUGGUUUUGUAAGUUGGAGGUGAAAUCCCCGGGCUCAACCUGGGAACUGCCUCCAAAACUGCAUGACUAGAGUACGGUAGAGGGUAGUGGAAUUUCCUGUGUAGCGGUGAAAUGCGUAGAUAUAGGAAGGAACACCAGUGGCGAAGGCGACUACCUGGACUGAUACUGACACUGAGGUGCGAAAGCGUGGGGAGCAAACAGGAUUAGAAACCCUUGUAGUCC